GGUUGAGCUUAUCAAGAAUGGC
RNAcentral lists this non-coding RNA (22 nucleotides) under Rattus norvegicus (Norway rat). The record is from RNAcentral. Lineage: Eukaryota; Metazoa; Chordata; Mammalia; Rodentia; Muridae.